RNAcentral lists this non-coding RNA (28 nucleotides) under Mus musculus (house mouse). The record is from RNAcentral. Lineage: Eukaryota; Metazoa; Chordata; Mammalia; Rodentia; Muridae.
UNCUAGCUUUGUGCUUUGUGCCUCCACC